UACAGAGGGUGCGAACGUUAAUCGGAAUCACUGGGCGUAAAGCGCGCGUAGGCGGUUCGUUAAGUGGGAUGUGAAAUCCCCGGGCUUAACCUGGGAAUUGCAUUUCAAACUGGCCGACUAGAGUACGGUAGAGGGAGGUAGAAUUUCCUGUGUAGCGGUGAAAUGCGUAGAUAUAGGAAGGAAUACCAGUGGCGAAGGCGGCCUCCUGGAUCGAUACUGACGCUGAGGCGCGAAAGCGUGGGGAGCAAACAGG
This 253-nucleotide ribosomal RNA is filed under the name uncultured bacterium. Its description in RNAcentral is "partial 16S ribosomal RNA". It matches the Rfam family "Bacterial small subunit ribosomal RNA", at positions 524 to 776 of the family's 1533-position model. The record is from RNAcentral.